UACCCUGUAGAUCCGAAUUUGUGUUAUAAACGCAGUCACAAAUUCGCUUCUUGGGGACUA
MicroRNA precursor from Gadus morhua (Atlantic cod), 60 nucleotides. Ensembl annotates it as gmo-mir-10d. Its record names the gene gmo-mir-10d. The record is from Ensembl. NCBI's taxonomy places the organism in Eukaryota, Metazoa, Chordata, Actinopteri, Gadiformes, Gadidae.